GAAGGAAAGCUCAAACAGUCGUUUACGCCCAGAGGUUGAUACAUCAAACACCAAAUGAUUCACAAUCAUAAUAAAAACAAAAUUAAAAAAAAAAAGGCAAAUCAUUUAUGGCACAAAACUGAUAUUUCAGAAAUGAAGGCGACAGUAACUUUAUUUUUUCCCAAAACCAAGCAGAUUGAUAAUGCCAUUUUAAAAAUAAUUAUUUUAGCCUGGCCCAUUGGCUCAGGCACCAAAACGGGGCCGAUUUCUGAGGAAGUGACAGAAAAACAAAUGGACGGACCCAGGUUCAGGGGCAGGGUCAGGGGCAGAAUGGACGGACCCAGGUUCAGGGUCAGGGGCAGAAUGGAUGGACCCAGGUUCAGGGUCAGGGGCAGAAUGGAUGGACCCAGGUUCAGGUUCAGGGUCAGGGGCAGAAUGGACAGACCCAGGUUCAGGGUCAGGGGCAGAAUGGACGGACCCAGGUUCAGGGUCAGGGGCAGAAUGGACGGACCCAGGUUCAGGGUCAGGGGCAGAAUGGACAGACCCAGGUUCAGGGUCGGGGCAGAAUGGACGGACCCAGGUUCAGGGUCAGGGGCAGAAUGGAUGGACCCAGGUUCAGGGUCAGGGGCAGAAUGGACGGACCCAGGUUCAGGGUCAGGGGCAGAAUGGACGGACCCAGGUUACCUCCGGCUGCCUCGGGCAGGAAUGGCCCUGAAGCUCACUCAUAAUGAUUACACCACACAAACACU
This is a long non-coding RNA of Anguilla rostrata (American eel), 728 nucleotides long. RefSeq lists it as uncharacterized. Lineage: Eukaryota; Metazoa; Chordata; Actinopteri; Anguilliformes; Anguillidae. The record is from RefSeq and is a predicted model, not a curated record. The transcript has 4 exons.